RNAcentral lists this long non-coding RNA (467 nucleotides) under Solanum tuberosum (potato). RNAcentral describes it as "long non-coding RNA (STUB_LNC001809)". Lineage: Eukaryota; Viridiplantae; Streptophyta; Magnoliopsida; Solanales; Solanaceae. The record is from RNAcentral.
GCAGUCUUCCUAGCUUUAGGGUCAAUCGAAUAGAUAGAAGAUCUAGCGCCUCGGUCAGAGAGAAUGGGGCACGAGUUCGUGACCUAAUAGAAUAGUGUUUUGUGAUCCCGGGGAAAGCUAUCAUAGUGAUUCCACUAGACUUGAAAGCAAAUGAAACAAACCGGGAUAAAGCUUUAACCAAGCGUAGUUGGCGGAGUAUGACCUCUUGAUUUGAAGUUUUCUGGAUUCCUAGUCUACUAUAACUGACUUAAUAGAAUAUGGUAUUAAAUAAUCAUUUUUUCUUUUUUUGUUUUCUAAUUAACGUGGAUGGGGAACCUGGAAAGGUGAUAAAUAUAUCUAGUACUAGUACAGAACAACAUUAUUAACUACACUGAUAAACAUAAAAUUCUUUAGGUUUUAAGUGUAUAGUAAAGUAAUCUUAAGAUCAGGUUUCACUCCAAAAUGAGCUAUCAUUAAUUAGUGAUAAC